RNAcentral lists this ribosomal RNA (253 nucleotides) under uncultured bacterium. RNAcentral describes it as "partial 16S ribosomal RNA". It matches the Rfam family "Bacterial small subunit ribosomal RNA", at positions 524 to 776 of the family's 1533-position model. The record is from RNAcentral.
UACGGAGGGUGCAAGCGUUAUCCGGAUUUACUGGGUUUAAAGGGUGUGUAGGCGGACUUUUAAGUCAGCGGUGAAAUCUCCGGGCUCAACCCGGAAACUGCCAUUGAUACUAUUGGUCUUGAAUGUUGUUGAGGUGGGCGGAACGGGUCAUGUAGCGGUGAAAUGCAUAGAUAUCUGGAGGAACACCGGUGGCGAAGGCGACAUCCUGGACCGGCAUUGACGCUGAGGCGCGAAAGCCAGGGGAGCAAACGGG